AUUUUGUAGACGGUCCUGCUGAUGUUUGUGUAUGCCAUAGGACUGUGUUUAUGGUUAGUGAAAUUGUUCACUUUAAGUUUGUAUUCUGUUUAAUUUGUUCCCAGGGGUGAAGGGGAAAUCAUCUUCGGAGUUCUUGGGCAAGAGGCCUGCGGGCAUACACAUACCUGUAGUACGUACUAUGUCUAUGUACACUAGGUAAGACCUGGGCGGACCAUCCCCUGUAUUUUGGUUUGUGUGCCAGUUGGUGCUAGUUAGGUCAUCAUGCUGCUUGUUAUGGCGCACACCUGCGUGUCAUCAGACUCACCUGGACUCAUCACCUCCUUGAUUACCUGCCCAAUAUAUGUCACUCCCUUUGGUUCCUUCCCCAGGCGUUGUUUCCUAUCUGUUCGUGUUUAUUAAAUAUUCACUCUUGUACUUGGUUCCUGACUCAGUGCACACGUUACAGUUGAGCAUGAAAAACCCAGCAGUGUUGCAGUUCUUCACACACUCAAACUUGUGCGCCUGGCACCAUACCCGUUCAAGGCACUUAACUCUUGUCUUGCUCAUUCAUCCUCUGAAUGGAACACAUACACUAUGUAUCAAGGCUUAAAAUACUCCUUUAACCAUUCUUCAUCUACACCACUGGUUCCAAACUUUUUAUAGUCCCUUAC
RNAcentral lists this long non-coding RNA (650 nucleotides) under Salmo salar (Atlantic salmon). Its description in RNAcentral is "lncRNA (ENSSSAG00000115032.1, ENSSSAG00000120901.1, ENSSSAG00020069518.1, ENSSSAG00075014384.1)". Lineage: Eukaryota; Metazoa; Chordata; Actinopteri; Salmoniformes; Salmonidae. The record is from RNAcentral.